AUUGAACGCUGGCGGCAUGCCUUACACAUGCAAGUCGAACGGCAGCACGGGGGCAACCCUGGUGGCGAGUGGCGAACGGGUGAGUAACAUAUCGGAACAUACCCUAGAGUGGGGGAUAACGUAGCGAAAGUUACGCUAAUACCGCAUACGAUCUAAGGAUGAAAGUGGGGGAUCUUCGGACCUCAUGCUCAUGGAGUGGCCGAUAUCUGAUUAGCUAGUUGGUGAGGUAAAGGCUCACCAAGGCGACGAUCAGUAGCUGGUUUGAGAGACGACCAGCCACACUGGAACUGAGACACGGUCCAGACUCCUACGGGAGCAGCAGUGGGGAAUUUUGGACAAUGGGGGCAACCCUGAUCCAGCAAUGCCGCGUGAGUGAAGAAGGCCUUCGGGUUGUAAG
This 397-nucleotide ribosomal RNA is filed under the name uncultured bacterium. Its description in RNAcentral is "bacterial SSU rRNA". It matches the Rfam family "Bacterial small subunit ribosomal RNA", at positions 30 to 429 of the family's 1533-position model. The record is from RNAcentral.